This 879-nucleotide ribosomal RNA is filed under the name uncultured bacterium. Its description in RNAcentral is "bacterial SSU rRNA". It matches the Rfam family "Bacterial small subunit ribosomal RNA", at positions 8 to 916 of the family's 1533-position model. The record is from RNAcentral.
AGAGUUUGAUCAUGGCUCAGGAUGAACGCUGGCGGCGUGCCUAACACAUGCAAGUUGAGCGAUUUACUUCGGUAAAGAGCGGCGGACGGGUGAGUAACGCGUGGGUAACCUGCCCUAUACACACGGAUAACAUACCGAAAGGUAUGCUAAUACGAGAUAAUAUAAGAGAUUCGCAUGGAUUUCUUAUCAAAGCUGAGGCGGUAUAGGAUGGACCCGCGUCUGAUUAGCUAGUUGGUAAGGUAACGGCUUACCAAGGCGACGAUCAGUAGCCGACCUGAGAGGGUGAUCGGCCACAUUGGAACUGAGACACGGUCCAAACUCCUACGGGAGGCAGCAGUGGGGAAUAUUGCACAAUGGGCGAAAGCCUGAUGCAGCAACGCCGCGUGAGUGAUGAAGGCCUUCGGGUCGUAAAACUCUGUCCUCAAGGAAGAUAAUGACGGUACUUGAGGAGGAAGCCCCGGCUAACUACGUGCCAGCAGCCGCGGUAAUACGUAGGGGGCUAGCGUUAUCCGGAUUUACUGGGCGUAAAGGGUGCGUAGGUGGUCUCUUGAGUCAGGAGUGAAAGGCUACGGCUUAACCGUAGUAAGCUCUUGAAACUGGGAGACUUGAGUGCAGGAGAGGAAAGUGGAAUUCCUAGUGUAGCGGUGAAAUGCGUAGAUAUUAGGAGGAACACCAGCAGCGAAGGCGGCUUUCUGGACUGUAACUGACACUGAGGCACGAAAGCGUGGGGAGCAAACAGGAUUAGAUACCCUGGUAGUCCACGCCGUAAACGAUGAGUACUAGGUGUCGGGGGUUACCCCCCUCGGUGCCGCAGCUAACGCAUUAAGUACUCCGCCUGGGGAGUACGCUCGCAAGAGUGAAACUCAAAUGAAUUGACGG